AACGCACAUUGCGCCCUUUGGUAUUCCGAAGGGCAUGCCUGUUCGAGCGUCAUUAUCAUCCAUCAAGCCUGGCUUGUUGUUGGAUCAAAUCGCCGCUGUGGUGCGGUGAAGGUCCGAAAGAUAAUGGCGGUGUCGUGUCGACCCCACGUACAAUGAGCUUAGUUGCACGUACGUUUGGAAGUUGGCCGGCCCGGUCGCAAACUUUAUCCAACCUUAAGUUGACCUCGGAUCAGGUAGGGAUACCCGCUGAACUUAA
This 256-nucleotide unclassified non-coding RNA is filed under the name uncultured fungus. RNAcentral describes it as "sequence contains ITS2". The stretch from base 1 to 52 matches the Rfam family "5.8S ribosomal RNA", at positions 103 to 154 of the family's 154-position model. The record is from RNAcentral. Lineage: Eukaryota; Fungi.